AUGGCCUGGGACAGAUUUCAGGAUCAGUUUGUGUCCACUGUGGUUGAGAGUUUUUCAGUGGACAGAUGCUUGUUCACAGUGCAGGAGGUUUUUGUACGGCCACUUAAUGAGUUUGUAUCACUGUGGUGGACUUUCGGUGGAGGAACCAAACUCGUCGUUGAGUCGGGCGUGGUGCGGCCCACCCUGACCGUCCUCCCCCCCUCCACACGGGAGCUGCAGCAGGGCAGUGCCACAGUGGUGUGUCUGUCCAGCGGGGGCUCCUCAGCCUGGACGCUGGGCUGGAAGGUGGGGGGCGGCAGCAGCUCCUCAGGGGUGUCACACAGCCCGGAGGUCCUGGGGACGGACGGCCGCUACAGCCUGAGCAGCACCCUGAGCCUCAGUGCGGACCAGUGGAGGAAGGCGGGCUCAGUGAGCUGUGAGGCCAGUCUGAGUGGACAGAGCCCUGUCACUCAAAGCCUGGACCCUGGCCGCUGCUCAGAGUAGAGCUUCAGCAACACUUCCUGUCUGGAAAUGAUGCUGCUUCUUUCACAGAGAUCUCCAUCAAGCUGCAGAUCUCCUGUGUUCACAUAUUUCUGCAAGUUUCUCAGCUCUCUGCUCAGCGUGUUAGUGUGCAUGUUGCUUUCUAAUACUCAUCUUCUGCAUGUUCUGCUUUAUGUUCUUUACACUUCAGAUUCGACUGAAUAUUAUCAGAGUCGCUUCAGGAGAAACGAUUCAUUCAUCAGAAAUGUGGCAUAAACAUGAAACCAUCAUUAAAUAAAACUGUGGAUUAUAAUGA
Molecule: non-coding RNA, 775 nt
Organism: Scatophagus argus
Lineage: Eukaryota; Metazoa; Chordata; Actinopteri; Scatophagidae
Source: the annotation of a RefSeq genome assembly